RNAcentral lists this long non-coding RNA (627 nucleotides) under Chinchilla lanigera (long-tailed chinchilla). Its description in RNAcentral is "lncRNA (ENSCLAG00000023114.1)". The record is from RNAcentral. Lineage: Eukaryota; Metazoa; Chordata; Mammalia; Rodentia; Chinchillidae.
UGCCUUUGCUUGGCCCCAGAGGUUCAGCCCCUUUCUGUUUCUAAUGGGGAUCAACCAACACUGGAUAACUCAGUCAGUUAACUUGGACUAUCUUACUGCAGGGUUUCACAGCUUUCUGACUAUUUUUGGUAAAACAUUGGCCAAAGGUCUCCCUUUGUUUCUGGCACAAUUUCGAAUGUACUUUGCUGCGGUAUAUUGAUGAUCUCCUCUUGGGAUAUAAAAUCCAUAAGGAAUGAAAAAGAGAUACAAGAAAAAUGAUUGGACAUCUUUUGCAGAAGAGAUAUAAAAUAUUUCAGAAAAAGGCACAGUUGUGUUUCAGUGAAGUCAGAUACUUGGGAUUCCAUGUACUAAAGGGAGAGAAAACUGAGUGUGUCCUGGAAGGUGAUGAUCAACAACAUACCUGAGCCCAAGGCUCAGAGGCAACUGCAAAAAUUUCUGGGGGCUUCAGGUUUCUGUUAAAUGUGGAGCCCAGCUAUGCCAUUCUGGCCGGAUCUUUUACAAAGGUCUUUUGAUUCACUUGGCUCCUUCUUCCACAUGGAAACUCUAAGUAAUACCUUCUAUGGAACGCUUUCUGCCCUUCACGUCUGGCUAAGGUUGUUCCAUGUUAUGACUAUAAGCAAAAAAUGA